Long non-coding RNA from Humulus lupulus (European hop), 16017 nucleotides. RefSeq lists it as uncharacterized. The record is from RefSeq and is a predicted model, not a curated record. NCBI's taxonomy places the organism in Eukaryota, Viridiplantae, Streptophyta, Magnoliopsida, Rosales, Cannabaceae. The transcript has 2 exons.
CAAAAAUAAAUUCUACUUGUUUGAAUAUAGUUAUUAUAAACACUAUAUUCUUUUUAAUGAACUUUGAAGUUAUCUUAUAUUAAAAAAAAAAACAAAGUAAGAUAUCUAUAUUCUAUAGUGCAAAAGGCAGAUGAAACCUUACAAGAUUUUUGCUACAAUUGUAUUGUUUAAUUGAAAAAUUGACUAGAAAAUAAAAAAUAAAAAAAAAGACUAAAGAAUGCAAAAUUGAAGACCUAAGUGUAAAAUACAAGUUAAGUAAGAUAUUUUUGCUGCAAAUAAGUCAUUUUUGUUUCAGUUUUUUAAUUCACUAGUUCAAAUGAGCAUAUUUUAACUUCAUCCACCAUAAUCCACAUGAUAUAUUUAAUACUGAAUUUUUUUAAUAAUUUUAUAUUUUUUUAGUUUAAAUUAAUUCCUCAAGUUGUUAUUGUGGUAAAUUCGUCUUUGAUACCUCUUAUUACUUUAACCAAUGGGACUUGGUGUAAUUGUUUUAUAGUAAGUUUCAAGUGUUACUAAAAAAAAAGUUUAUAUUUUUUUGGAUCAUGUGUUUAUCCAAUUAUUAUCUGUUUGAACCCUGUGUUUUGACAAAUUACUUUUUGGACUCUGUGUUUUGUAAAAUAGUUCAAAUAGACUUCUAAACCCAAUUUUGAUGAAGAAAAAAUUGAAUAUGACAAGACAAUUAUUAGACUGAAUGAUUGUGUUUUUGUUCUGAAUUGUUUAUUUGGUAAAUUAUUUGUGAUUUUAGUUCAAAAACUUUGACUAAAAUAGGAUUUAAGAAUCUAUUUGAAUUAUUUUACAGAGUCUAAAAAGUAAUUUUUCAAAACACAGAGUCUAAAAAUAUAUAAACAAAAAAAUUACUCAUUCAGUUAUAAAAAAAAACAUAGAUUUUAUUUUUGGUCAAAACAAAAAAUUACUUGUGACGCCACUGGAGGGGCUAGCUCAACUGGUUGUGUGUAUGAGUGUAUAUUGGAGGGGUGAGUGGAUCAAAUCCCUAUUGUAUAAAAAAAUUACUUGAAAAAAAAUAUUUAAAUAUAAUUUUUCACCAACAUACUCUUAGUUAGGGGUGCAGACGGGUCAGAUUUUCGGCUUUCGGUGCAUCAGAUUCGAGUUAUGCGAGUUUCGGGUGGAGGAAAGUCGUACCGAAUCUAAUAUGAAUUUUUCGGGUUUCAUUCGAAUUCGGAUUUCGGGUUUGGUCGGGUUUUGGGCUGGGCUGGGCCGAAUUUGGGAUUUGGGCCUAGGUACAAAUUUUUCAAAAAUACUAUUUUUUGACACUUUUUUUUACUUUUCACAUGAUUUUUUUUUUAAAGUUUGUUGUUAGUUUGGUUCUAUUGAUUUUUUUUACGAAUUGUGCAUUGGUAGUUUUUUUGAAAAAAAAAAUAAUCAUGAAACAUAAGUUUAUAGAAAAUUAGAAAUUAGAAAAUAAAGGUGAUUUUAAUGCAUUUAAAAAAACAACCUAUAAAAGUAAUAUACUAAAACACUUAAGUUAAGCAUAAAGUCCAAUCCCUUACCACAUAUUAUCUAUUAUCUAAUGUCCAAAGUCCAAAUUAAAAACAUAAACAAAGAUAAAGUCCAUAACUAGUUAACUGCAACCAUAAUAAAGUCUAUAACUCUACAACCAUAAACAUAAAGUCCAUGAAAAUCCAAAAUACAAUGAAAGAUAUUAGUAGUAAGUAUGACCACUCCUUCCUUCCUUUCAAAAUUCAAAUGUUCAAAUAAAAAAAUUAUUAAAGAAAAUAAAUCAAAGAUAAUAAAUAACAACACACUAAGUAAACUAAGGCACGAAUAAAUUAUUACAAGCAAUCUAUAAUUUCCGAUUCCGCUCCAAUCUGUAAAUCCAUAAAAAUAAAUAAUUGUCAAUUUCUCAAUAACUUUUAGGCAUAUUUCCAACACAAUUAAAAUCUAACUCUAAAAAAUAAAACCAAUACACAAACAAACAACAAUAGACAGAUUUUAACUCUCAAGAAAUGAAAAAACAUACAUACAUAAUACAUAAACCAACAACAAUAGCCAUAUUUUAUUUUUUACCAAUUUUUUUUUCUUAUUUUCCUACACUAAUAACUAUUCUGAUUUCUAAUUUAUAUAACCUAUAUUAUAUAUUAUUAACAAUUAAAAAAUAUAUAUACAUAAUUACAUAUAAUUAUUAAGUAUUACUUAACUUAUUAUUUAUUAAACUAUACAUUUAUCUAAUAUAUAUAUGUAUAUUUUUAACUAUACAUUUAUCUAAUAUAUCUACAUAUAUACAUAUGUUGACUGUAUUUUUUGCUACCAACUUAAUCUGAGAGAAAUGAAGGAUAAAGAAGGGAAGACACAAGGUUUUACGUGGUUCAGGUUAUAAAAGAACCCUAGUCCACGAGUCUCUAUUAUUUAGCGAGCUUGAAGCUUGAGAUGGCAAGCUCUAAUGGUGAAUCUAAGGCAGCGUAUAUAUUGCACUGAGUACAAAGUUUCUCUUUCUAAAACAUCCAAGCCCUUUCAAGGAGAUACCCUAGCCCUAUUUAUAGGGUUGGGAUCAUUAUUGCCAAUCAUCCCUCAUAAAUAAUAGGGUAUUAAUGUUAAGUUAAUACACAAAGGGUCGUGCUACAAUAAAGACUAUGGCCUACACGGAUUCUACGGGGCCAUUGCAUAAACUUACGCACCAACUUUAUGGGGAACAUAUAUGUGACUGUCAGGGUGCAGCGCACGUUUGCUAAUGAUAGGCGGCGUUGUGGGAAAUGUUGAUUGUCGAGUGUAAAAAAUCAACACCACUAAUCGAGGAUCACCAAAAGUUGUCAUAUGAUCCUUUCAAGGCUCACACCUGUGGAUAUCCAUGCUUCGGAGACUGACCUACAGCGCGGUCUCACUGGAAGACACCUUCGUCGGAGGGAAGACCUCGGGACAUAGCCUCAUAUGGAGAUAUCCUCGAUUCGACCGAGAUGGACCAUGCCAAAGAGCUCACAUCACGAGGACUCCAUGGCCGGUGACUAACUACUCCCUAUUACCACGUGAUAGAUGAUCAAAACACAGACAACAUUCUCCCCCCAAGUCUUCACUCAUCCUCGGACAGUGGAGACUUUGAUUGAGGAGUAAUUCGAAAGGGUCUUCGGGAGGUGACGCUUGGGCUUCUUCUGACUUUUCUCAAAAGUUCGCGCCAUGCAUUGACUCUCCAUUGUUGGGCCCAUCAAUCCGUGCAAUUAAUGAGAAGUCCAUUACACUACUCAAAAUGUCUAUUCCGUACCAUAGGUGUCUUUUUGCCCCAUACCCAAGACGUUGUUUCCCAAGGCCAAUGAGCAUGAUCUGUGCCUUUUAGUAUCUGACAAUUGGAUUACUCUUGAGUGCCCACGUCGUGGGCAAUCCAACGGUCGAGGUAUAGGUGCUUCCUCUCCAAGUUCUGAGUAUAAAACUCAACAACCGCCUCUUAGCAAACACAUUUACCAUUUAAAAUCUGAAAACCCCACAUUCUCUCUUCUUAAUCUUCCCAGUCCUUCAAUCAUUCUGGAGCUUCUUCUGCAAGUCUGGACAACUGGCGAGAGUUUUCGCACUUCUAGGUGAACGACAAGCAGUUCUUCAGAGUCAGAACUUGUUUCAGCACAUACUGUCACUACUUCUCGAGUAAGUAUUUGCUGGCUUCAUGUUUUUGUUAGGUUUACUUAGGGAAUUUAGGUGCAUGCUUAGGAAUGGGUUUUUUUUUUUUUUUUUUGUGGUAGUUUGAGGGAAAUUUUUGACCAUUUACAAGUCUUUUCAGGCACAUUUUUGCGUUAGGAGUGGCCAAAAUGGCCUAUUGCCUACCUUGGGAAAUUUUCGCCUUUCUGAACACUCGACCGGAAUCUGGAAAAUCCCCUGAUUUCGCCAGUGUUCAUAAGUUAUGGUGGUGUUCUCUGGUGAUGAUUUUUCGGCCCCGAGGACAUCUCGAGCCUUUAGAAAUUCUUUCUUCUCCUCCCCAAGCAGCAGUCUUAUGGAUUCUCGCUUGGACCGAUCUUUCUUUGGAACAGGGUGCUAACUGCUUGGUUUGUUGUCUCAGAUGUCCAAGGACCUUCACUAAUUACAUAAACAAGGAUUUUACGCCUUUGCUGUCGAGAUCCUCCAAAUGGCCCAAGAAGCGGGGCAACACCCUGUGAAGGGGAAGAAAGUGACUAGCAGCAGUCAAGCCCUCGUGGUACGAGAGGGCUCUGACCCGGUAGCGACAAUUUCUCUUCGAGUUGGCCUCUUUGAGGAAGAUGCUAAUGCAGGCCCGACACCGUCGAACAACACCUACCCUGCCAUAGGGUUUGAGGCAGAGGACAUCCAGAGCAAGCUAUGGCAUCGAGGUGCCUUGGAGAAGAUUCUCGACCAUUAUGGGGUGGAUUCCCGUGAGAUGCUAGUGCACCUAUCCCGGGAAGAUGAGAAGGCGCACGAGAGCAUUCAUGGGCUUAGGCCCUGGUGUUCCUCCCAUCUCUAGGCUAGUGCAACCUUGCCACUGCACCAUUACUAUGUUGACUUCCUCAAGUUCGUCGACAUAGCUCCAUUCCAGUUGUCUCCGAAUGGAUAUCGGGUACUGGUGGGACUUUACAUUUUGUACAAGAGGAAAAACUUGCCCACCUCGACCCCCACCGAAAUAUUGUACGUCUACAGCUUUCGAAAGUGCUCAAAGAAAGGGGAAAAAGGUGGGUACUACACCCUGAUGAAGCAUAUGACUCCAGGGAGAGGCUACAAGCUCCGAGCGGCAACAAGAACCACACUCAGAACUACAAGGACCAAUUCUUCUGGGUGGAUGGGUUCCCGACGAGGACCAAUCCUACCCUACUCCUAGACUUUACCACAGUUGGUAAGCACCUUUGUCCUCGCGUAAUUUCGUCUGAUAGUAUUCGACUCAUAACUGAUCCUUGAUUUUAAAACAUCUCUUAUCAGAACCUUAUCGUCGCACCCCUUUCGUUGAGUCCUUUGAUGAAAGGUUUCAAAUGAUGAACACUAUUCGUGACGAGGAGUUAGAUUUCCCCUUUCUUGUCACUGAGGCCCAUCUCCGACAGUAUAGGCUAUUUCAGGUGGGGUAGGGCAUAAGCCCGGUGGUCCUUAACAAAUUAUGGGACUCGAGGUAGUCUCAACAGGUGGUGAGGCUACACACGGGAUAUAUGGAGGCCAAGGCACAAUUUCAAUAUAUGCAGUGCCUUCGUGAGGAGCACGCAGAGAGCAUUCUCGCCAUCAAAGCCGCCGUGGAGGCAAAGGAAGAUGAAGGCCUUGAGGCGAAGCUCAAGGAAUGUAUUGAAUCAUCUUUCAUGCCUCAAGGUAAAUCUCCAAUCAUCCUUCAUUAUGAUAAGCAUGUAGGGGAGGGAACUAGUCCAGACGAUUCAUCAUUUCCUCCCUCGCUUCUUUAGUGCGGCCAAGUCUUAGGGUGUCGCUGGUUCAAGGAGGAGUAUCAAGACUACCAGGACCUCAUUGAUGUGUUCCUCUAUAAUCUGAGGAGGAAGAUACAUCCCCAAGGUUUCGUGCCUCUUAGCGAGAUGAUGACCAUGCAUACCACGUGGUUUUUCUAGUACGAGAUUAAUCUGAUGCAGGAAAUGGGCUGACUCAUCCGCGAAUUCGCCCAUUUUGUCCUCCACUGUGAGGAGCCUGAUUAUGAAAGCAUGGGCAUGCCCGACUUGGUUUGGUCGAAGCAUCAGAGGGUGUCAAGAUUCUCUGAGAUAGAUUCAUGACGGCAUCAGCUGCAGUGCCCUUACCCCCGAUCACUGCAACUCCAGCCCCAUUUGCCCAAGCAUUCUCAGCGGCUCCUCCACCGGUCCUCAAUCCGAGCACGUCGGCUCCUGGUGAGGUCAUUGACCUUGAGGCUUCCUCCCCUAAGAUGGAGGAUUCUUUGGGAAGGGUAAGGAAAUCCCUUCUGAUGUGUCUGGCUCCUGUCUAGUUAAGGCACCUCAGUUGAUAGUCUUCCCAGAAUUCUAUGACAGGGAGGACUUAGAGGAGCUCAAACGGGUCACAGAGUACUACAACGCCCGCAUCGAGGAGAGCAACACGGACUUAAAACUACUUUCUAAGUUUCUACGCGAAGGUUGGCCAAAUAAUUCUGUUAUCCCUCCUUACCUCAUAGGGGAAAAUAGGAGAUAGGGUUGUUCCGCUCAGUGUAGAAGUUCUGCAAAGGUUAAUGGGGUCCCUAUGCGAGAUGCCUUCUAGCAUCUUCGCCCGUUGUGGUAGAGACAACAAGGUUGUGGUGAUAACCACCAGUUGCGUUCCUCCUUGAGAGUAAGUCUCUUAAUUUCUACCUCAUUUUAGUGUUUUAUUUCUCCAUUACUUUGCUGAUUUUGAUAUUCUAAUCUGACAAACUGCGGCCCUCAACCAACGGCUUGGGGACAUCAUGCUGAUGCGGUCCUUUGAGCUAAAGGUGGCUUCAGAGGAGCUGGCCUGGGCUCAGGAAGAACUGGCUCAGCUUCGGGAGACUGCAGUCCCCUUGGAGGAACAUUCUUGGCUCUAUAAAAAAGUGGAAAACACAAGGGCCCAUGUCAGCGAGGCGGAGGACCUACUAGCCACCAAGCGGUCGAAGCUAACCUCUUUAGAGGAAAAUUCCUCUAAGAUGCUGGAAGAUGAUGCAGGCCGCACCUAGGCCAUGGAAGAAGAGCUGAACAAAGCCCACAAAGAGCUCCAGUUGAGUCAGGCAAAGUCUCUAGCCCGUGCUGAGGAGCAGGAGAAAACCAGGAAAGUUGUUGAAGACCAUCGUCGUCGAGUCGAAGAACUGGAGAAGGACCUCGAUUUGAUGGCUGGCGAUACACUCUUUGUUCCAUGGCAGAGCAACAUAGACAUUGAUCUCUCAUUCAUCGAGGACCCCGACAUGAAGUCAAAGCUCGAGGCGCAUCUUGAAACAGAAGAGGCCAUGGCAGCCCAGGAGAAGGAGGCAUUGGCAACGAGUCACAUUCUUGAAGCCGACCUUGUGAUCGAGAUGGUGGUGGAGGUCCCGUCAGACCUAGGGCCUCAGUAAUUUUGGUCUGUAUAAUUUUUUAGCUGAGUAGGCAUGCGUGCCAUAAUUUUUUGGGGUAUAGACAAUCAACGAUCGAGCCCCCGAGCACUAUUGUGAUUAUUUUCCAUUUAAACUUAUGCAACCUUCACUACUUUACUGCCAUGAUUGCAUUAUUAUUGCUGAAUUUAACCUUUAACAAAUAUGCAACAUGGAUUUGGCUACAAUAGUCGUGAGAGUCCCAAGACACUGAAUCGGGUCUUGCGCUCUAGUCUUGAAGACUUGAGAUUUUAUCGACUUCUCUUAGUACUUAGGCAAUUUGUAUGUGUUUAGUGUUGCUCUAUAGGCUCGCAUUCCUUGAGAGUAACUUUAACGCAAGGUCAAGUGAUUCCUCGACGUGACCCUACGUCCCUGAGUUCCAACGACUCAGGAGGGGGCCCACCUAUGGUACUUGCGCAUGUAGUGUUUCAUCUUAGGCUUGAGGUCACAAGAGUAACUUUUACGUGGUGUCAAGUGAAGGUGCUCACUCGACUAUCCUACACCCCUGAGUUCCAACCACUCAGGCUUUAGGAGGUCUUGUACUGUAGGGUUCUUAGUGCUCGUCACUUACGACAUUUAGUUUUGGACUCCAUGCUCAAUGUCCUUGGAAGUAACUUUAAUGUCAUCUCGUGCCCCCGAGUGCCAAUGACUCGGGGCUUUAGGGGGUCAUUCACAUUAAGUUAUUUUCCCCCGGGGACAUGAUCACUGGUGGGCUAGCUUAGGAUUUUUUAUUUGCCCCUCGAUUACACAGCUCGGGGCCUAGUCGUUUGGAAGUUGUGACUCAUUAUCCCAAGCCUAGGAGGCUGAGCUCAUGCCCUUUGUCUAGGUCUAUCGUGGCUUGAUCUUAAGUGCUCGAGGUCUGGCCCCAAGUUCCAACGACCCAAACCUUUGUUCGCAUCUCGACAUCAUAAGAUGGAGUUGUUACUCCUCAGGCACAGUGUUCUUGGGAGGUAACCUCAGUCCGUAUUCGUAGAGCAUUCUGCUCAAGUCUUAAGGCGAAUUCUACUAGUGCCCGAGUACCAAUGACUCGGGCUGUCCUCGGGAGGAUAUGCCAAAUCCAAUCUUGCGUUAUUCGAAUCUUUCGGCACCGUGUUUCAGUCCGGCCAUUUAGCUAUGGGAUCCCAUGACACUAAAGGUGCUUCACUCAUCAACUAGCCAAGCUCCCCAUGUCAUGGACUUCCCAAUGCUAUAAUGUUCGAGGCAUAUGGAGGACUUGGGCAUAACUCCUCAGGCGCAAUGUCCACAGGAGGCGUCCCAAGUCUACCCCGAGACCAAGUACAGAGUACUAGGUCUUCUGUUCGCAUCUCGAGAUUAAAGGACUUGAUCAGAGCUCCUUGGGUGCAAUGUCCAUGGGAGGUGAUGCAGGUCCGUUCUUGCGAUACUAAUAUUCUUUGUCCAGAUUCUAGACGCUAAACCUUACUCUACUUGGAACAAGCUUUGUCUCUUAGGCCAGACUCGACUAGUUUCCUAGGUUUUUCCAUUCUUGGGGUGGUGACACUAGGCUUACCCUGCUGGACAAGCUUAGUUUCCUUGGUUGUUCCACUCGAGGAGUGAAGCUACCCCAACUCCAUGCCCCCAAGUGAUUGGAGACUAAUCUGCGUUCAGUUAUCCAGGCCAGUGAGAGGGUGUUUUACGCGUAGCACAUACAUAAUAAAGGAAAUUAAGAAAUAUAAGUAGAAACACAAACAAAUUUUUUCUUUCCCGUGUUUUAUCUACACUGUUUCCAAUAAAUGUGCCCGAAUGCUACAAGGGAGAUUAUAAAAAAAUCAACAUGCUUCACUGCUCAUAUUACUAGUAAUACCAGAGAAGAUGCUCAACAUUCCAGGCAUGGGGUAUCAACUCCCCAUUUAGUCUGGCCAAUUUGUAUGUCCUCGGACAUACAAUGCUCUCGACUUGGUAUGGACCUUCCUAGUUAGAACCCAAGACUCUUGCACUGGGAUCUUGGGUGACUAAGAAGACUCUUCGCAACACCAAAUAUCUGACCCCAAACUUUCUAUCCUUCACUUUAGAGUUGAAAUACAUGGCUACCUUCUGCUGGUAGAACACUACCUGAAGCUGAGAAGUUUCACGGAGCUCUUCCACGAGUCUAGGGAUUCUCGCAGUAAACUAGGGUUUGUGAUCGGGUCAUAUGUAUCUCGUCGGUGCGUGGAGAUUGUUCUUUCAACUGGGAGCAUGACUUCAUACCCAUAGGCCAUUGAGAAUGGCGAGUGUCCGAUGGAGGUCCAGGCAGUGGUGUGGUAGCUCCAAAAUGCCCUAAGUAGCUCCUCGGGCCAAGCGUCUUUCACCUGCUCAAGCCUUUUCUUUAAGGUGGCUUUGAGUGUCUUGUUGAUUGCUUCCACCUGCCCAUUUUUCUGUGGGUGGGCGAUGGAAGAGAAGCUUUUCAUGACUCCUUGUCUUUGGCAGAAGUCUGUGAACACCUCGCUGUCGAAGUAUAGACCAUUGUUGGAGACUAUCUUCCUUGGAAGCCCAUAGCGACAAAUGAUGUUCUUAAUGACGAAAUCUAGAGCCUUCUUGGAAGUGAUAGUAGCAAGUGGCUUGGCCUCGACCCACUUUGUGAAGUAUUUGAUCGCCACUAUCGCAUACUUUACUCCUUUUCCCAUGGGCAGUGACCCGAUAAGGUCAAUGCCCCAGACCGCGAAGGGCCAAGGACUCGUCAUCUGAGUGAGUUCAUUCGAAGGAGCUCGAGGUAUGGUUACAAAAUGUUGGCACUUAUCACAUUUCUUGACAUAAUCCAUCGCAGCUCUGCCUCAAGAUUUUAUUGGCAAGGCUUUGCCCCCUGACGUGGUCCCUGCAAAAGCCCUCAUGCACUUCCCGGAGUAUCAUGCUGGCUUCUUUCUUGGACACGCACCGUAAUAGAGGCAAGGAAUAUCCUCGCCUGUACAACUUACCGUCCAUGAUAAUGUACCAAGGUGUCUGGUAGAGUAGCUUACGAGCUACUUUUUGGUCAUGUGGAAACUCCCCUAAGACUAGAUAUUUGAUUAUGGGUUCCAUCCACCCAUCCUAGGGUUGGAUUAUCUCCACUCCCUCAGGUUCUGAGAUGCUUGGAGAAGAUAAGUAAUAGAUGGGGACUACAUUGAUUAGCUUAGCAUCCUUGGUGGUUGCCAACUUGGCCAAGGCGUCAGCGUUCGAGUUCUGCUCCCUCGAUACUUGUCGAAUUCUGAAUUUUCUGAAGACCUGUAGCAUCUCUUGGGCCUUUUCUAGGUAAGCGGCCAUUUUUGUUCCUCUGGCCUGGUACUCCCCGAGAAUUUGAUUAACUACUAGUUGUGAGUCACUGAAAACCUUGAGGCCCUCGGCCUUAAGCUCGAGCGCAACUCGAAGCCCAGUAAUUAGCGCCUCAUACUUUGCUUCAUUGUCAGAGGCGUUGAACCAUAAUCUUAGGGCACUGUGGACCCUGUGCCCUUUGAGGGACACUAAAAUGAGACAUGCCCCGAUCCCAUUUUCAUUCAACGACCCAUCGACAUACGUGGGAUGUGCCUGGAAGUAAGGCCUUAGCUUCCAAGAAGCCACCAUCAGGCAUAAGGUCAAGUUUUCCAUGAGCAGGUACCUGGACUCAACUUCGAGGAGCCUCUUGUUCACAUAAUACACGAGAUUUUGGACACGACCUUCCUCGCAGACUAAGGCAGCGCUCAUGGCAUUCUCAAAAACUGCCAUGUAGAUUAAUAAGAGUUCCUUGUCCAUGGGUUUUGAUAGGAUCUGAGGGUUUUCCAUAUGAGCCUUUAGUUACUGGAAUGCUUGCUUACAUUCCUCCGUCCAUUCAAACCUCUAUCUUCCUCGGAGGAUGUUGAAGAAAGGGAUGCACUUGUUCGUCACCUUGGAAACAAAGCGGCUCAGUGCAGCGAUCCUUCCAGUGAGGCUCUGGACAUCCUUAUGCCUUCGUAGGCAUGACAUGUUGAUCAAGGCCUUAAUAUUUUUGGGGUUUGCCUCUAUUCCUCGAGCACUGACGAUGAAGCCCAAGAACUUUCCCAAGGCAACUCCAAAAGUGCACUUCUGAGGAUUUAGCUUCAUCUCAAACUUGGGAAGCACUGAGAACACCUUCGCGAGGUCCCUCAUGUGGUAUAAGGUUGUUCAAGACUUCACCAGCAUGUCGUCCAUAUACAUCUCCAUAUUCCGCCCCAACUGCUCUUUGAACAUGCAGUUUACGAGCCUUUGGUAGGUGGCCCCAGCAUUCUUUAGCCCAAAGGGCAUCACCUUAUAGCAAUAAACUCCCUUGUCUGUUCGGAAGCUGGUGUGCUCUUGAUCUGCGACAUGCAUAGAAAUUUGGUUAUACCCCGAGUAUGCAUCCAUGAAGGACAAAAGCUCAUAACCGGAGGUGGCAUCGACAAUCAGAUCGAUAUUCGGCAAUGGGAAACAGUCCUUAGGACAGACCUUAUUUAGGUCUGAGAAGUAUAUGCAGGUCCUCCAGGUGCCAUUUGACUUAGGCACGAGGACAGGAUUGGAUACCCACUUGGAAUACUGUGCGCUUCGGAUGAAAUCGUUCGCAAAAAGCUUGUCCAUCUCCGCCUUUAGGGCUUCCGCUCUAGUCUAGUCGAACUUCCUUCGCUUCUGUUGGACUAGAGUGACGUUUGGAUCGACAUUCAACGCAUGACAAAUGAUGUUUGGGUCAAUGCCUGUCAUGUCAGAAUGAGACCAGGCGAAGACAUCCUGGUUUUCUCAGAGGAAGGCUAGGAGCGAGUUUCAGAUUCUCUCAUCCAGAUUCUUCCCAAUCUUGGUUCUCCUACCAGAAAUGGUCGCGUCAAGAGCCAAUUCCUCAACUUCUUCCAAUUGCUCAACCGCCCUCUUCUCUUGAACUUGCAGGUCCAACCCAUCUGCCCCUUCGGCCAGUGAUGCUAUCAUAUCCACAUUCUCAGGAAGAGACUGCUCGUGGUCCCUUGUCUCAACUACCAUUACUGGUUGUCGGAGGGAGAUGUUAUAGCAUUGCCUCGCUGCCUUCUGGUCUCCUCAGACUGUAAAAAUUCCUGACUAUGUGUGGAAUUUCAAGCACAGAUGCCGAAUUGAGGUGACGACUCUGAAUUCCACCAGGGCCAGACGUCCUAAAAUGGCAUUAUACGCUGAGGGACAGUCCACCACCCCGAAAGUGCAAUACUUGAAGGCCUGGCGAAGCUCUUCCCCCAGUGUCACGGGUAACUUAAUUUGGCCCAUUGGUAUGAGACCCUCUCCCAAGAAUCUGUAAAGAGUUGAGGAGCAUGGGGACAGGUCACUUAUGGUCACACCAAUCUUCUCAAAGGCGAACUUAAACAAGAGAUUCACCGAACUCCCAUUCUCCACCAGGAUCCUAGCCACCAUCUUAUUGUACACCUGGCUCUCAAUCACUAGAGAAUCAUGGUGCGGGAAGUGAACUCUCUGAGCAUCGUCCUUGGAAAAUGUGAUGACUUUUUCAGUCAUUUGCGACAUCUUGGAUGGUAUUUGAGUCAAGGCUAGCACCUCAUCAUCAUGGUUUAAGGCCUGCGCAUAUCUGUUCGGUGAGCUUCUAAAAGUGCCCCCCCCCCCCCCCCCCGGGUGGGGUCCUCUCGAAAUGGUCCCCACUUUGUCGUUUACCAGAGGGGGCCUAUUUGUUAUCGGUUGCAGCCGAGCUAUGAGCACCGGCCUCAGAGAUAUAGGAGUGGCAGGUUGCGCACGUAUUCAUGCUGCUGGGGGCGGUGGCUGGCAAGGCCCACUCCGAGCGUACUGGUGGAGGUAUCCCAACUUGGUGAGGUUCUCGAUCUCAUCAUUGAGUUGGCGAAACUCGUUGGUUUGGUGCCCUAUAUCAUUAUGAAAAUGACAAAACUUGUCGGGAUAUUCUCACAGGAGUCUAUCAAGUCAGUGUACUCAGAGUACUGCAAGACAUACUUCUCACUAGAGGCAGCUCCCUCUUUAGUCUGUGAAAUUCCAUUUCCCUUGGGCUUUCAGCCCUUUCCCUUACCCCCACAUAUAUUAUUGCUAGGGGUCCAACUUGGUGCGGCUAAUUGGGAUGGAGCGAAAACUUCAACACUGAAUGCAGGCUAAAAAGCACUAUACCCAGUGGGAGUCGCCCGUAUCCCGUCAGAGUCGUACUGAAACCAGCGGUCGACAUGGCAAUAAAGCCACUUGGUGGGACACUCAGACUGGAAUGGACUCCCCCCAAACUUGGUUCGACAAGAGCAUAAGGCGGAUAAUGGAUCCUCAAAGUGAUGGGGCUAGGUGUUGCCAGAGCGGGAAAGGCAACGGGCCCUCCGAAUGCUCUGAUCUAGGCAUCCUCCCAGCUGAUGUAUUCUUGUGCUCAAUGAAUGAAGUUGUUGAGCUGUCAACAUCCUCUCCACUAUAGGUCAUCCCACAACGGGGACCCCGAGCGAAUGCCGUCCUGCAAGGCCAUCAGUUGUUGGCCAUUGUCAACCCUCUUGGUCCUCAUAGCUUCUUCUUUGAAGCGUUUAAUAUAUGCCUUGAAGGUCUCAAAAGGCCUUUGCUUUAUGUUGGCCAAUGCAUUGGCCUCGAAGCUCACCUUUCAUGCUGCUAAAAAUUAUCUUCGGAAGGAAGCCGACAGUUGGUGCCAUUAUUGAAUGGAAAUUGGUUGGUGUUUCUUGAACCACUCUUCUGUUAGUCCCGUUAGAGUUAUCGAGAACACAUGACACUUAGCGUCCUCGGAGAUGCGGUGCAACGACAACAGUCUAUUGAACUUUGAGAGGUGGUCGGUUCGUCAUAAGACGAGAUGGCUAGCAUUUUGAAGCCCUACGGCAAAUGGGCUUCCACUAUAUGAGGUGUGCAUGACUCCCCAUCUUUUUCCUCUGAGUCAAAGUCGUGGCCUUGUCGUCAGGCCAUCUUGAGCAUGAUCCUCUUCAGGCUCUCCAAUUUCGCAUGAAGCGGGUCACAGUCUUGGUUUACGCUCUAUGUUAGGUUAUCUCUCCUUCAAUCGUUGAGAUUGUCUCUGAGGUUUAAUGAACCAUUCUUGGCAUGCUCACGCCCGUGGGUCUUAUUGCACCUACGAGCAUUAAGGUUUUCCCGCAGAUUAGCUUGGCCUUGAAAUGCACCAUUGUCCUUGGGAUGAGCCACCUUCAUUUCCCCAUCAAACUCAACAUUCUCAUUGUUCACAGAGAUGUUGGGGUCGUGCUUUCUGCUGACAAGGAAAUUUUGCACGCUGCCCCUUCGACCAUUGUUCUUGUGGGGAUGGAUAGGUGCCUGGGGGACGCCACUUUUGGGCAUCAUGUGAUCUGUAUUGGUGCGCCUGGGGAAAAUGCCCUAGGCUCCAUGUGCACUAGUGGCCUAGCGACAUCGUCAGGCUCCUGGGCCUUCACCUAUGCUAGCUGGCCUCGGGACCUGGUUAUCGAUGGGGUUCUGGCGUGCCUUCUUUGGCUUCAGAGCAGGGUUAUCUUCAACCUUACCCUUUCGAUGCUCCUAUGGCGUAGGUGGGGUUCCAACUCAAGCUGGGUGCACGGGAGGCACACCGGCUGGCAGAUCUCGCGCCAACCCAGUUGAGUGCUCAAGAGGCACACAGGCUGGAGCGACAUGUGGCAUUCCAGUUGGUGGCAUAGGAGGCACACCAGCUGGCUACCCAGAUGGUACUGCACCAUGGGGGUCCACUAGCAGCCCUUGGGCCACCAGAGUAGCCCUCAUGGUGUUAACCAUCUCCUACAGGGCGACAAUAUUACCCUCUUGGGUGUCGAUCUUCUACUAUUGGGUGGCCACCUGGCCACGGAGCGCCGCCAUUUUUGGUGUCUUCUCUGCAUCCAUGGGAUGAGGGUAUUCCUCCUCAUAGUAUCCAUCAUCGCCCCUGUCAUCCAUGUUGUCGUUCAUGCCGUCGUACUCGACAUUUUCGUUAUAGUCCUCCACCGCGUCUGGGUGGUCUAGCGGCGCCAAGUGACUGGUUUCUCCUCCCUCAACUACAACGUGAGGGGCAGUAUUGUCUAGAGCAUUCCUUUGAGUGGUAACCAUGACUAUUUUCCAAGCUUCCUUCAAGCUCUCAAUGAAAGCACCAAAAUGUUGACUGCCUUUUUCACUGCCAACUUAAUUUGAGAGAAAUGAAGGAUAAACAAGGGAAGAACAAGGUUUUAAUUGGUUCAGGUUAUAAAAGAACCCUAGUCCACGAGUCUUCAUUAUAUUUAGCGAGCUUGAAGUUUGAGAUGGCAAGCUUCAAUGGUGGUUCUCAGGUAGCACAUAUAUUGCACUAAGUAUAGAGUUUCUCUCUCUAAAACAUCCAACUGCUUUCAAGGAGAUACCCCAGCUCUAUUUGUAGGAGCUGGGGUCAUUAAUGCUAAUCAUCCCUCAUAAAUAAUAGGGUAUUAAUAUUAAAUUAAUACACAAAGGGUCGUGCUACAAUAAUGACUAUGGCCCACGUGGAUUUUGCGGGGCCCAUUGCAUAAAGUUACGCACCAACUUUAUAGGGAACAUAUGUGUGACUGUCAGGGUGCGGCGCAUGUUUGCCCAUGGGUUAUGAAAUGGGCCCCGCAGAAUCCACAUGGGAAAUGCCAGGCGGCGUUGUGGGAAAUGCUGAUUGCCGAGUGUACGAACUCGACAUCACUAAUCGGAUCAACAAAAGUUGUCAGAUGAUCCUUUCGAGGCCCACACCUAUGCAUAUCCAUGCUUCAGAGACUAGCCUAAAGCGUGGUCUCAUUGGAAGACACCCUCAUCAAAGGGAAGACCUCGGGAUAGCCUCAUCUAGAUAAAUCCUCGAUUUCGCUGGACUGGACCACGCUAAAGAGCUUGCAUCCCGAGGACUCCAUGGCUCGUCACUAACUACUCAAAAUUUCCACGUGUCGGAUGAUCAAAACAUUGACAACAAUAUAUUUUAUACAACCUACACUAAUCGUGAGCGUGAGGGAGGAGUCGGGUCGUUGGGAUCUAUGGCUGUCGGCAGCUGUGGGUGGAUGUGGCCUGCGUCGACGUGGAAGAGCUAGGCAGAGCUGCGACGGAGGUCUGGGCAUGUGGUGCUGCAGCGGAGGUCUGGGCGGAGCUGCGGACUGCGGAGGUCGUGUGGUGCUGGGCAGAGGGCCGUGUGGUGGCCUAGUCGGUGGGUCUGUGGCGAAGGGAGGCACACGGGUAGAGUAGCCAAAGAGAGAGAAGAGAAAGGGUCGCGGGGUACUCUAUUUUUUAAGGUUUUGUUUUUAGUUUUAGUCUAUGUGAUUAAAAAUAAUAAAAAAAAAAAA